RNAcentral lists this ribosomal RNA (485 nucleotides) under uncultured bacterium. Its description in RNAcentral is "partial 16S ribosomal RNA". It matches the Rfam family "Bacterial small subunit ribosomal RNA", at positions 899 to 1397 of the family's 1533-position model. The record is from RNAcentral.
ACUCAAAGGAAUUGACGGGGAGCCGCACAAGCAGUGGAUGAUGUGGUUUAAUUCGAUGGUACACGAAGAACCUUACCGAGGCUUGACAUCCCUGGAAUCCCCAAGAAAUUGGGGAGUGCCGCAAGGAAUCAGGUGACAGGUGCUGCAUGGCCGUCCUCAGCUCGUGUCGUGAGAUGUUGGGUUAAGUCCCGCAACGAGCGCAACCCUUGUCGUGUGUUGUAUUUUUCACGCGAGACUGCCCGGGCCAACCGGGAGGAAGGUGGGGAUGAUGUCAGGUCUGCAUGGCCCUUACGCCUCGGGCCACACACGUCAUACAAUGGCCGAUACAACGCGUUGCUAAGCUGCAAAGUGGAGCUAAUCGCAUCAAAAUCGGUCCCAGUUCGGAUUGAGGGCUGCAACUCGCCCUCAUGAAGUCGGAAUUGCUAGUAACCGUGGGUCAGCAUACCACGGUGAAUACGUUCCCGGCUCUUGUACACACCGCCCGU